This 422-nucleotide ribosomal RNA is filed under the name uncultured bacterium. RNAcentral's name for it is "partial 16S ribosomal RNA". It matches the Rfam family "Bacterial small subunit ribosomal RNA", at positions 360 to 774 of the family's 1533-position model. The record is from RNAcentral.
AAUUUGCGACAAUGGGGGAAACCCCGCUCCAGCCAUCCCGCGUGUAUGAUGAAGGCCUUCGGGUUGUAAAGUUCUUUUGGCCGCGAAGAAACGGUAUCUACUAAUACGAGAUACUGCUGACGGCACCUGCAGAAUAAGCACCGGCUAACUACGUGCCAGCAGCCGCGGUAAUAUGUAGGAUGCAAGCGUUAAUCGGAAUUACUGGGCGUAAAGCGUGUGUAGGCGGUUCGGAAAGAAAGAUGUGAAAUCCCAGGGCUCAACCUUGGAACUGCAUUUUUAACUGCCGAGCUAGAGUAUGUCAGAGGGGGGUAGAAUUCCACGUGUAGCAGUGAAAUGCGUAGAUAUGUGGAGGAAUACCGAUGGCGAAGGCAGCCCCCUGGGAUAAUACUGACGCUCAGACACGAAAGCGUGGGGAGCAAACA